CCCUAGCCCUGAUUGCAGUGAAAAUCCUUUUUUAUCAUUUUUUUUCAAAGCAUAAAAAAGAUUGAAACGGAAAGCAGGAUUAGCU
RNAcentral lists this small RNA (85 nucleotides) under Flavobacterium sp. 5. Its description in RNAcentral is "Flavo-1 RNA". It matches the Rfam family "Flavo-1 RNA". Lineage: Bacteria; Pseudomonadati; Bacteroidota; Flavobacteriia; Flavobacteriales; Flavobacteriaceae. The record is from RNAcentral.